Non-coding RNA from Spinacia oleracea (spinach), 123 nucleotides. The record is from Rfam. NCBI's taxonomy places the organism in Eukaryota, Viridiplantae, Streptophyta, Magnoliopsida, Caryophyllales, Amaranthaceae.
UUAGGAAUUGCAGGGCUAGUCUCCUUUGGCAGAAAGAGUGAUGCAUGCAUGCAUACAUGUAUAUUUGCAAUGCACGUAACAUUAUCUGUUUUUGCCAAGGGAGACUUGCCCUGUGAUUUCCCC